This 264-nucleotide ribosomal RNA is filed under the name Triticum aestivum (bread wheat). Its description in RNAcentral is "partial small subunit ribosomal RNA". Lineage: Eukaryota; Viridiplantae; Streptophyta; Magnoliopsida; Poales; Poaceae. The record is from RNAcentral.
AUGCAUAGAAAAAAAAGUCUACAACGGAUAACUAAAACAUUGGUUGUUAUUAACUGUGAUCACCAACCUCACAAUGAUGCUAUGAAUUCUCAUCCGACGGAAACUGGCUUUGGACUUCUUCCAGCCUGCCACUUCAUCCUGUACUACCUAUUCAAAAUAGCAAGAGUGUAUAGUAAGGAACUGGACAAGAACCAUCCCUUGGAAGCUCCUGUUCUACCCCAGCAAGAAGCCAAGAACAGACACAUCCUCUGCGACCGUAUGUAG